AGUGAACGCUGGCGGUAGGCCUAACACAUGCAAGUCGAACGGCAGCACAGUAAGAGCUUGCUCUUACGGGUGGCGAGUGGCGGACGGGUGAGGAAUACAUCGGAAUCUACUUUUUCGUGGGGGAUAACGUAGGGAAACUUACGCUAAUACCGCAUACGACCUACGGGUGAAAGCAGGGGAUCUUCGGACCUUGCGCGAUUGAAUGAGCCGAUGUCGGAUUAGCUAGUUGGCGGGGUAAAGGCCCACCAAGGCGACGAUCCGUAGCUGGUCUGAGAGGAUGAUACGCCCAACUGGAACUGAGGCACGGUCCAGACUCCUACGGGAGGCAGCAGUGGGGAAUUUUGGACAAAGGGCGCAAGCCUGAUCCAGCCAUACCGCGUGGGUGAAGAAGGCCUUCGGGUUGUAAAGCCCUUUUGUUGGGAAAGAAAAGCAGCAGGUUAAUACCCCGCUGUUCUGACGGUACCCAAAGAAUAAGCACCGGCUAACUUCGUG
Molecule: ribosomal RNA, 492 nt
Filed under: uncultured bacterium
Lineage: Bacteria
Description: partial 16S ribosomal RNA
Rfam family: Bacterial small subunit ribosomal RNA
Source: RNAcentral